AUACGGAGGGCGCAAGCGUUACUCGGAAUCACUGGGCGUAAAGCGCGCGCAGGCGGCUAUUUAAGUUGGAUGUGAAAGCCUAUGGCUCAACCAUAGAACUGCAUCCAAAACUAUUUAGCUAGAGUGUGGGAGAGGAAGAUGGAAUUAGUUGUGUAGGGGUAAAAUCCGUAGAGAUAACUAGGAAUACCAAAAGCGAAGGCAAUCUUCUGGAACACUACUGACGCUGAGGCGCGAAAGCGUGGGGAGCAAACGGGAUUAGAAACCCUAGUAGUCC
Molecule: ribosomal RNA, 274 nt
Filed under: uncultured bacterium
Lineage: Bacteria
Description: partial 16S ribosomal RNA
Rfam family: Bacterial small subunit ribosomal RNA
Source: RNAcentral